This 253-nucleotide ribosomal RNA is filed under the name uncultured bacterium. RNAcentral's name for it is "partial 16S ribosomal RNA". It matches the Rfam family "Bacterial small subunit ribosomal RNA", at positions 524 to 776 of the family's 1533-position model. The record is from RNAcentral.
UACGUAGGCAGCAAGCGUUGUUCGGAGUUACUGGGCGUAAAGCGCGUGUAGGCUGCUCUGCAAGUCGGAUGUGAAAGCCCUGGGCUCAACCUAGGAAGUGCACCCGAAACUGCGUAGCUAGAGUCCUGGAGAGGAAGGUGGAAUGCUUGGUGUAGAGGUGAAAUUCGUAGAUAUCUGGAGGAACACCGGUGGCGAAGGCGGCAUUCUGGACCGAUAUUGACGCUGAGGAGCGAAAGCCAGGGGAGCAAACGGG